UCGUAAGUAAAGACGGGUGGAUGGCCUUAGUGCCGGAUAUCCUUUUCAAGUAUGAAAACGAGAAUGGUAUGUUCAAGGUCUAUUGACCGGUUCAUUAUUCCUAAGUUAUUAUAUAUACUUUGGAAUUAUUAUUAUGACAUGAGAAGUACUAGUCAAAUGUUUCAUAGUGCUUCGUAGAUAAUUGUUCAGAUACGGAAAUAAAGCAUGUAAUUGUUAAGGUGAUAUUCUUAUGCUUCUUUGUUAAGACUUGUUGAGCUAGUUAUGCUCAUUCUUGCUUGAACCAUAUGUUUGCAGCUAAAGCCAAACGAACUGAGAGUUCUAAG
This 323-nucleotide long non-coding RNA is filed under the name Panax ginseng (ginseng). Its description in RNAcentral is "long non-coding RNA (PGIN_LNC012992)". The record is from RNAcentral. Lineage: Eukaryota; Viridiplantae; Streptophyta; Magnoliopsida; Apiales; Araliaceae.